GUGCCAGCCGCCGCGGUAAUACGUAGGUGGCGAGCGUUAUCCGGAUUUACUGGGUGUAAAGGGCGCGCAGGCGGCCCUGGAAGUCAGAUGUGAAAGAUCAAGGCUUAACUUUGACAGGUCAUCUGAAACUUUGGGGCUUGAGUAUCAGAGGGGAAAGUGGAAUUCCUAGUGGAGCGGUAAAAUGCACAGAGAUUAGGAGGAACACCGGUGGCGAAGGCGACUUUCUGGCUGACAACUGACGCUGAGGCGCGAAAGCGUGGGGAGCAAACAGGAUUAGAUACCCUGGUAGUCCACGCCGUAAACGAUGAUUACUGGGUGUAGGGAGUAUCGACUCUCUCUGUGCCGAAGCAAACGCGAUAAGUAAUCCACCUGGGGAGUACGGCCGCAAGGCUAAAACUCAAAGAAAUUGACGG
This 413-nucleotide ribosomal RNA is filed under the name uncultured bacterium. Its description in RNAcentral is "bacterial SSU rRNA". It matches the Rfam family "Bacterial small subunit ribosomal RNA", at positions 505 to 916 of the family's 1533-position model. The record is from RNAcentral.